Molecule: ribosomal RNA, 549 nt
Filed under: uncultured bacterium
Lineage: Bacteria
Description: partial 16S ribosomal RNA
Rfam family: Bacterial small subunit ribosomal RNA
Source: RNAcentral
UGGGGAAUAUUGCACAAUGGGCGAAAGCCUGAUGCAGCAACGCCGCGUGAGUGAUGAAGGCCUUCGGGUUGUAAAGCUCUGUCUUUUGGGACGAUAAUGACGGUACCAAAGGAGGAAGCCACGGCUAACUACGUGCCAGCAGCCGCGGUAAUACGUAGGUGGCAAGCGUUGUCCGGAUUUACUGGGCGUAAAGGAUGCGUAGGCGGAUUUUUAAGUGAGAUGUGAAAUACCCGGGCUUAACUUGGGUGCUGCAUUUCAAACUGGGAAUCUAGAGUGCGGGAGAGGAGAAUGGAAUUCCUAGUGUAGCGGUGAAAUGCGUAGAGAUUAGGAAGAACACCAGUGGCGAAGGCGAUUCUCUGGACCGUAACUGACGCUGAGGCAUGAAAGCGUGGGUAGCAAACAGGAUUAGAUACCCUGGUAGUCCACGCCGUAAACGAUGAGUACUAGGUGUAGGAGGUAUCGACCCCUUCUGUGCCGCAGUUAACACAAUCAAGUACUCCGCCUGGGAAGUACGAUCGCAAGAUUAAAACUCAAAGGAAUUGACGGGGU